GCUCCCGCGGCCGAUUGGUAGGGUCUGGAGGUGACGGAAAUUGCCGAAGGGACUCGGCCGAGGCGGCGGGUGAGCCAGCGAGUCUCGCGCGAGGCGGGGCGGGGUCUCGCGGUGCUGGCGCGAGGAGGCGGGUGCGUCCCGGAAGUGACGCGCCGUCGCCCUUGAGGCCCCGCGGGGUGGGUGCGGCGCCGCUCGGACCCCCGGGCCAGUCCCGGGUCGGGCAGGGAGCGGGGUCGUGCGUGUCCCCCGAGGCUGCCCCUUCCAACCACGCAGGAGGCGGCCUGUGCCGGCCCGGCCCCCGCGGCCGAUGGGAGCGGUGCGGGGCUGACAGCGCUGGAACCGGGGCGCCGUCACGGUUAUAACACGUGGGGCUACGUGCGUUCCACCGCCUUCGCUUUGUCAUGCACGGAGUUGCAUAAGAGGAGCCCAGGACGAAAUAGGCCCGAAGGACUUGGUGGACCCAGAUGAUUUUGGUUGUGGAAACAAAACAUAAUUGCUCUUUAUCUGUCUCUGGCACAGAAAAGCCAGAAUGCUCCACAUGGUACCUCACUGACCUGUGAUAUCCCAUCACUGCUUGAAAGAAUCUUGCUUCAGAUAAAUAAAAAAA
Molecule: long non-coding RNA, 607 nt
Organism: Neopelma chrysocephalum (saffron-crested tyrant-manakin)
Lineage: Eukaryota; Metazoa; Chordata; Aves; Passeriformes; Pipridae
Exons: 2
Source: RefSeq, a predicted model, not a curated record